UACGGAGGGUGCAAGCGUUAUCCGGAUUCACUGGGUUUAAAGGGUGCGUAGGCGGGUUGGUAAGUCCGUGGUGAAGUCUCCGAGCUUAACUCGGAAACUGCCGUGGAUACUAUCAAUCUUGAAUAUCGUGGAGGUAAGCGGAAUAUGUCAUGUAGCGGUGAAAUGCUUAGAUAUGACAUAGAACACCAAUUGCGUAGGCAGCUUACUACACGAUCAUUGACGCUGAGGCACGAAAGCGUGGGGAGCAAACAGG
RNAcentral lists this ribosomal RNA (253 nucleotides) under uncultured bacterium. Its description in RNAcentral is "partial 16S ribosomal RNA". It matches the Rfam family "Bacterial small subunit ribosomal RNA", at positions 524 to 776 of the family's 1533-position model. The record is from RNAcentral.